Astatotilapia calliptera (eastern happy) is the source of this 1807-nucleotide long non-coding RNA. NCBI's taxonomy places the organism in Eukaryota, Metazoa, Chordata, Actinopteri, Cichliformes, Cichlidae. The record is from Ensembl.
CUUAUGAACUGAUGUUUGGCAGACAACCCCGACUACCCAUUGAUUUAGUCUUAGGUAUCCAACCUGAAAAUGCCAACCAUAAGUCUCAUUCAGAGUAUGUGAACAACCUUCGUCAACGUCUGGAGGAGAGCUACACCCUAGCUGCAAAAAACUCCCAGAAGAUCGGAGAAAGGAAUAAAGUUAGGUUUGACAAGAGGAUUAGAGUGGCCGAGCUCUGUGCAGGUGACAGGGUUUUGGUUAGGAACAUGAGUAUCAGAGGUAAACACAAAAUCUCAGACAGGUGGGAACAGAAAGUACAUGUUGUGGUUAAACGAAUCAAUGAUGGCCCUGUCUAUGUUGUGGAACCCGAGUUGGGAGACGGACCAAAACGCACCUUACACAGGGAUCUCCUUCUACCGUGUGGGUUCUUACCUGUGGAAGAAAUGGCAGGGAGCAGAUCUCAUGGGCCCUCUAAAGGGAAGAAACCAAGGAACAAAGCCGAAAGAGAAGUACAAUCUUCUGAUAACCCUGAUGGUCAGGAAGAUGAGGUAUACAGUGAUGAGGACGAAGUGUAUCCAGCUUUUGUGGUUCCAGAAAUAAUAACCAGAGGUCCUUUUAUCCAGACUGAAAGGCAGGUUAUCACACCUCAGCUGUCCACUGGGGAUGUGCAUUCUAGUUUGGCCCGUGCAGAGCCACAAGACGAGUCACACGCACGAGAAACACCCAGUCAUGUUUCUGAACCUGAGCCUUUGUUACACUCAGAAAGCAAUGAGGUGACCACAUCUCCCAUUCCAUCUGAUGAAGGUCCAGGUUGGGUUGUUAUUGACAUUCCUGAACAAACAGAAUCUGUUGAAAUGAAUCAAGGAAGCAGCGACACUGCUGAGCGGAGUUUAGAGCCAGAGACAGUAGAGUUGCGGCGUUCUGGGAGAGAGAGACGCCAACCUCGUAAACUAACUUAUGAUGAGUUAGGUGAGCCUUUAAUUUUGGCUCUCAGUUCCUUUUUGUCAGAGUUUCGCAAUUGUAUUCUCUCAGAGCACUUUCCUUCACACACCUGUUAAGUCAAGUGUGCAUGCAGAGACUCAUGCACUUUAGAGGGGGAGAGUGUAACCCAGAUCAUUGUUUGAGUAUGGGAUUUCUGAUUAUUUGUGGUCACUGAACGCACCACUGUGCCGUGCGCAUAGCCACUCUCUAGUCCAGCUACAGAGUUUUUCCUUCCGUUCGUCCGAUGAGGCGCAUGCUGCUCUCGUGCCCUCUACGAGCUGGAAAUUCGGGUACAGUAGACAUUUGAGUUGCUGUAAAUAGUUUUAAAAACCUUUAUAUGUGAAGCUAAUGAUUUAAUAUGUUGUUAGGAAAAAGUCUUGUAGCGGUUACAAACGUGAAGCGGAGCUGAGUCCGACAGCAUUCGCCAUUACACGAACUCCUCUGGCUGGUUUGUUUGCCCUUUUGGUGCCCUGGAUCCUACUGGAUGAACUGCCUUGUGGAAGUCCUCAUCUGAUGACUCUGCCGAACCGUCCUGGCAAAUAGAUGGUCGUUGCUGCUUGCUGGAUGCUAUUAUUGGAUGCUACACCGUUCCAACAGAGCGAGAAACUGUGAUUCUGGGUUAAACAUCGGGGUGAAAUUGAUGACACCGACACCUAGUGAACUGCCCAAGGUCAACAGUCCUGAUUUCCACGCAUUAAAGGUUUGGCGUAAGUACAGAUUGCGUUACACCUGCGUUCACAGAAAAAUGUACAAAUGUCAUCUGUCCAGCAUGGUUAACGCUUGUAUAGAUCUACCUCCAGCUGUUGUAAUCCUAGCCAGGUCCACUCCAACCAUGCUGGACGCCAUC